Molecule: ribosomal RNA, 1940 nt
Filed under: human metagenome
Description: bacterial LSU rRNA
Rfam family: Bacterial large subunit ribosomal RNA
Source: RNAcentral
UUAAGCUGUAAAGAGCGCAGGGAGGAUGCCUUGGCACUAAGAGCCGAUGAAAGACGUGAUAAGCUGCGAAAAGCUGCGGUGAGGAGCAAAUAUCCAUUGACCCGCAGAUGUCUGAAUGGGGAAACCCGGCUGAGCAAACCUCAGUCACCGUAUACUGAAUCCAUAGGUAUACGGAGGGAACCCGGUGAACUGAAACAUCUAAGUAGCCGGAGGAAGAGAAAGAAAAUUUGUCGAUUUCCUAAGUAGCGGCGAGCGAACGGGAAAGAGCCCAAACCGGAGUGCGUGCAUUCCGGGGUUCGGACUGCAUAAUCCACAACCAAGCCUAACAGAACGGUCCUGGGAAGACCGGCCAGAGAGGGUGAAAGCCCCGUACGUGAAAGGCAAGGAAGGGAGGCAGGAUCCAGAGUACCACGAGACACGAGAAAUCUUGUGGGAAUGAGCGGGGACCACCCCGUAAGGCUAAAUACUCCUUAGUGACCGAUAGCGCAUAGUACUGUGAAGGAAAGGUGAAAAGGACCCCGGGAGGGGAGUGAAAGAGAACCUGAAACCCUGUGUUUACAAGCUGUGGAAGUAUCGAAAGGGUACAACCGCGUACUUUUUGUAGAACGGUCCGGCGAGUUACGUCGGCUGGCGAGGUUAAGCACUAUAGGUGUGGAGCCGAAGGGAAACCAAGUCUUAAUAGGGCGUCCAGUCAGCCGGAGUAGACCCGAAACCGGGUGAUCUAUCCAUGUCCAGGAUGAAGUUGCCGUAAAAGGCAAUGGAGGUCCGAACGCACAUCUGUUGAAAAAGGUGGCGAUGAGGUGUGGAUAGGGGAGAAAUUCCAAUCGAACCCGGAGAUAGCUGGUUCUCCUCGAAAUAGCUUUAGGGCUAGCCCUGUGACAGUCAGACGGAGGUAGAGCACUGAAUUUCCUAGGGGGCGUCAAAGUCUACCGAAGAAUAUCAAACUCCGAAUGCCGCAUAAAUGAUGUACGGGAGUCAGACUGCACGAGAUAAGUUGGGUAGUCAAAAGGGAAAGAGCCCAGACCUACAGCUAAGGUCCCAAAGUGCGUGUUAAGUGGAAAAGGAUGUGGGAUUUCGAAGACAACUAGGAUGUUGGCUCAGAAGCAGCCAUACAUUCAAAGAGUGCGUAAUAGCUCACUAGUCGAGAGGUCCUGCGCCGAAAAUGUCCGGGGCUAAAACACGACACCGAAGCUUAGGAAUACAUGGAAAUGUAUUGGUAGAGGAGCAAUCUUAACGGGAAGAAGCAGUACUGUAAGGUGCUGUGGACUGUUAAGAAGAGAGAAUGCCGGAAUGAGUAGCGAGAUGGAGGUGGGAAUCCUCCAGGCCGAAUAUCCAAGGUUUCCAGGGUAAAGCUGAUCUGCCCUGGGGAAGUCGGGGCCUAAGGCGAGGUCGAAAGACGUAGCUGAUGGACAACAGGUUGAUAUUCCUGUACUAUCAUAUGACAGAACUGUGGGGACGCAGAAAGAGAGCCUGAGCCGGGAAAGGGAAAACCGGUGCAAGCGGGGUAGGAGUCGUGUAGGCAAAUCCGCACGGCAAUCCGAAGACGUGAUGCGGAGCGAACUAAAGUAGCGAAGCAGGUGAGCUGGCUGCCAAGAAAAGCCGCUAUUGUUCAUAUGAUACCCGUACCGUAAACCGACACAGGUGGAUGAGGAGAGAAUCCUAAGGCCGGCGGGAGAAGCAUUGUUAAGGAACUCGGCAAAAUGACCCCGUAACUUCGGGAGAAGGGGUGCCUGCGAGAGCAGGCCGCAGAGAAUAGGCUCAAGCAACUGUUUAGCAAAAACACAGGUCUAUGCGAAACCGAAAGGUGAGGUAUAUGGGCUGACGCCUGCCCGGUGCUGGAAGGUUAAGAGGAGAGGUUAGCGCAAGCGAAGCUUUGAAUUUAAGCCCCAGUAAACGGCGGCCGUAACUAUAACGGUCCUAAGGUAGCGAAAUUCCUUGUC